This 367-nucleotide ribosomal RNA is filed under the name Aethaloptera dispar. Its description in RNAcentral is "eukaryotic LSU rRNA". It matches the Rfam family "Eukaryotic large subunit ribosomal RNA", at positions 666 to 966 of the family's 3401-position model. Lineage: Eukaryota; Metazoa; Arthropoda; Insecta; Trichoptera; Hydropsychidae. The record is from RNAcentral.
CCAAGGAGUSUAGCAYUCACGCAAGUCAUUGAGAAUUAUUAUAAACUCAAAGGCAUAAUGAAAGUGAAUAGCGUCCGUAUAUAUUUUWUWAUAUAUACGGACCGUAGGGAAGACGAUGUUUUUUAUGGUGUGACCAUGCAUCCGCACUCCCGAGGCGUUUCGAGAAAUACCCUCGUUGUGAUUAUCAAGACGCACUGAGAGCGUGCACGCUGGGACCCGAAAGAUGGUGAACUAUGCCUGGUCAGGUCGAAGUCAGGGGAAACCCUGAUGGAGGACCGAAGCGAUUCUGACGUGCAAAUCGAUCGUCUGAACUGGGUAUAGGGGCGAAAGACUAAUCGAACUAUCUAAUAKSUGGUUCCSUCCGAAG